This 69-nucleotide transfer RNA is filed under the name Dicyphus sp. RNAcentral describes it as "tRNA-Gln". Lineage: Eukaryota; Metazoa; Arthropoda; Insecta; Hemiptera; Miridae. The record is from RNAcentral.
UAUAUUUUGGUGUAUGAUGCAUACAGAAUUUUGAUUUCUGUGGUCUCAGUUUGAUUCUUAGAAGUAUAA